RNAcentral lists this unclassified non-coding RNA (225 nucleotides) under Hevea brasiliensis (rubber tree). The record is from RNAcentral. Lineage: Eukaryota; Viridiplantae; Streptophyta; Magnoliopsida; Malpighiales; Euphorbiaceae.
AUUUGAAUUAAUUGCUUCGCUAAUGGUGAAUUUGAAGGAUUCAAAUAGAACAUGAUACCAUGAACAGAAAACAACAGAACUAUAAGAGAACAAAAAGGAGCAUUUCAAGAUGAAAAAACUAUCUAAAACUCAGUUCUAUUGUCUUAGCUUUCUCUCCUGAAUCAUUUAUCAGACUGGGCCACCACUUAGCAACUUCACUAACUCACCUUUCUUCAUCUUUGAAAA